GUGAACCGGGAUGAGCUCAAAUUUGAAAUCUGGCGUCUUUCAGGCGUCCGAGUUGUAAUCUAUAGAGGCGUUUUCCGCGCCGGACCGCGUCCAAGUCUCUUGGAAUAGAGUAUCAAAGAGGGUGACAAUCCCGUACUUGACGCGACAACCGGUGCUCUGUGAUACGUUCUCAAUGAGUCGAGUUGUUUGGGAAUGCAGCUCUAAAUGGGUGGUAAAUUCCAUCUAAGGCUAAAUAUUGGCGAGAGACCGAUAGCGAACAAGUACCGUGAGGGAAAGAUGAAAAGCACUUUGGAAAGAGAGUUAAACAGCACGUGAAAUUGUUAAAAGGGAAACGAUUGAAGUCAGUCGUGUGGGAAGUAUUCAGCCGUCUCUGGCGGUGUAUUUGCUUCUCACGGGUCAACAUCAGUUUGAUCCGGUAGAAAAAGGCGGGAAGAAGGUGGCACCCUCGGGUGUGUUAUAGCUUCCUGUCAUAUGUGCCGGACCAGACUGAGGAACGCAGCUUGCAGCAAUGCCGGGGUUCGCCCACGUACAAGCUUAGGAU
This 541-nucleotide ribosomal RNA is filed under the name Vishniacozyma carnescens. Its description in RNAcentral is "partial large subunit ribosomal RNA". It matches the Rfam family "Eukaryotic large subunit ribosomal RNA", at positions 93 to 624 of the family's 3401-position model. Lineage: Eukaryota; Fungi; Basidiomycota; Tremellomycetes; Tremellales; Bulleribasidiaceae. RNAcentral also lists the same sequence under 1 other name. The record is from RNAcentral.